GAUGAACGCUGGCGGCGUGCCUAAUACAUGCAAGUCGAGCGGUAAGGCCCUUCGGGGUACACGAGCGGCGGACGGCUGAGUAACACGUAGGAACGUACCCCAAACUACGGGAUAAGAACCAGAAAUGGUUUCUAAUACCCCAUGUGGCCAACGGGCUAAAGCUCCGGCGGUUUGGGAACGGCCUGCGUCCGAUUAGCUAGUUGGUAGUGUAAUAGACUACCAAGGCGACGAUCGGUAGCUGGUCUGAGAGGAUGAUCAGCCAGACUGGGACUGAGACACGGCCCAGACUCCUACGGGAGGCAGCAGUAGGGAAUUUUCCACAAUGGGGGCAACCCUGAUGGAGCAACGCCGCGUGCAGGAUGAAGGCCUUCGGGUUGUAAACUGCUUUUAUCUGUGACGAUUAUGACGGUAGCAGAUGAAUAAGGACCUGCUAACUACGUGCCAGCCGCCGCCGUAA
Molecule: ribosomal RNA, 457 nt
Filed under: uncultured bacterium
Lineage: Bacteria
Description: partial 16S ribosomal RNA
Rfam family: Bacterial small subunit ribosomal RNA
Source: RNAcentral